Molecule: ribosomal RNA, 112 nt
Filed under: Microcebus murinus (gray mouse lemur)
Lineage: Eukaryota; Metazoa; Chordata; Mammalia; Primates; Cheirogaleidae
Source: RNAcentral
GUCUAUGGCCACACCCCCCUGAGCACGCCUGAUCUCAUCUGAUCUUGGAAGCUAAGCAGGGCCAGGCCUGGUUAGUACUUGGAUGAGAGGAAUGAAAAAGACCCCUAAGAAG